This 94-nucleotide small nucleolar RNA is filed under the name Sorex araneus (European shrew). Its description in RNAcentral is "Small nucleolar RNA SNORA70 (ENSSARG00000018824.1)". It matches the Rfam family "Small nucleolar RNA SNORA70", at positions 42 to 135 of the family's 135-position model. From Rfam's summary of the family: snoRNA U70 seems to be exclusive to mammals and is a member of the H/ACA class of snoRNA which contain H (ANANNA) and ACA box motifs. H/ACA box snoRNAs are involved in the conversion of uridines to pseudouridines (5-ribosyluracil) a constituent of structural RNAs (transfer, ribosomal, small nuclear, and small nucleolar). Lineage: Eukaryota; Metazoa; Chordata; Mammalia; Eulipotyphla; Soricidae. The record is from RNAcentral.
CUCCAGUGUGCAAUGGAUGCAAAUAGCAGCCCCUUUGUAGUGAACUCAGCCUUUUACUCCUACAUGUUGCCAUAAGGGAUUUUUAGAUACAGUU